GUUAAACGCUAAACGCGGAGAAAACGAGACGUUAGGGGUGGCUGAAAGCGCGUGCGUACGUAGGUUACCGGACUCUUUUCCCUGUUUUUUCUAAAAGAUGCAUUGUGUUACCUGCGGGAUAUGGAAUCUUUAUGGGGCCCACUGUGCGAGGGAGACAUUGAAGAGGCUGAUGGAGUGCUACAGGUGUUCUGUCCCUGGCAUGAUUAUGACUUCAACAUCAGGACAGGAAAGUCACAGACAGGUUUACAGCAAGAAGUGUAUGAAGUAAAG
Anguilla anguilla (European eel) is the source of this 270-nucleotide long non-coding RNA. RefSeq lists it as uncharacterized. The transcript has 3 exons. NCBI's taxonomy places the organism in Eukaryota, Metazoa, Chordata, Actinopteri, Anguilliformes, Anguillidae. The record is from RefSeq and is a predicted model, not a curated record.